UUCUUCUUUUUCAUUUUCUUUUGAGGCCGAGAUAUGGUCGGCCAAGUAAGAAAGAGGGACAGAGGGAGAAUUGUUGAGAGAAGAGAUGAGAGACCAGAGAGGGAGAGAGACCAAAACCCAGCAAGCACGAACCCACCGAACCCAGUAAUGCAGAAGACCCAGCCGGCCCAGACCCUGUUUGAACCCGAGACUCGACAAAUCCCAGCAAGCACAAAACCCCGAACACCUCAAACCCAAACCUGCCAAGCUCAACAAUGAAACCACGGCAAUCAGAAGCCGGGCAACCCAUCCAGCCGAGCAGUGAAGGCCGUGACCCUGUGAACAACCCAGUGAGACCCGGCGUGCCCAGCCGCAUCCUCUGAACCCGUGAACAAAUUUCCAGCGACCCCAGCCAUGACCCAGCCGAUCCUCCGGCGUGAACCACCGGACUCCGAUGAACCCAGCGAACCCGUGACCCCGAUCCAGCAAAUUCCGGCACCCAUCCAAAGCAGACCCAAUCAACCCGUUGUAGCCAGUGAAUCCAGAACAACCCGUGACCAGCAAACCGGACCCAACUCAGACUCGGCGAUGGCGCGUAGGGUCCAUCAAAACCGACAGGAACCGGUGGAUCCAGAACCGUGGGCGCCGAUGACCGUGAACCUGAUACUCAAGAACGAAAACUUGACCUUCGGAGAACAUGAUAUAGACGUAGAGAACCGUGAGCCAACAAGAAGACCCGAGCCCAGCAACCCGGAUCUGAUCCAGCCCGAUCCCAUCACAGCAACCCAGAAUACCCGAGAAUCAAUUUCCUUAAGCCAUCAGCCCAUACCACAGCCUGCAAACCAUAACCCAGUCGGCCCAUAACCCGUGACCCAGCAACCCAGAAUUUUCUUAAGCCCAAACCCGAAGCCCAUCAAACCAAGAAGCCCAUCAACCAUGAUCAACCCAGGACCCAUAACCCAUGAGCCCAGACCCGAGAUCCGACCCGGACCCAUACCCGUGACCCGAACCCGGAACCCAACCCGCCGGUGACCCAUCUCCGGCAGAACUCCGGCGAACUUUCCGGCGACUUUUCCGGCAACUUUCCGGCGACUUUCCGGUGACUUUUCCGGCGAUUUUUCCGUGACCGAACUCACCACUAGAUUUUCUAGUGAAAAUUCUUAGUUAAUAAACUAAGGAAAUAUACAAAGAGGAUUAAAGCUCGAUCCCGAUAUUAUGGGAAAUCCAAGUUAUGAACAGAGAGACGUAGGUGGCCGGGAUGGGAUCUAGGAAUGCAUUAGGACAUUUCAUUUAUAUUACCCAAAAUUUUCAGUUAUUGUAUCUUUUACAAUUAAAUGACCGUUUCCGCAUUUAUUAAAAACUCUGA
Long non-coding RNA from Alnus glutinosa, 1345 nucleotides. RefSeq lists it as uncharacterized. The record is from RefSeq and is a predicted model, not a curated record. NCBI's taxonomy places the organism in Eukaryota, Viridiplantae, Streptophyta, Magnoliopsida, Fagales, Betulaceae. The transcript is spliced from 2 exons.